Molecule: ribosomal RNA, 427 nt
Filed under: Staphylococcus sp. KY49P
Lineage: Bacteria; Bacillati; Bacillota; Bacilli; Caryophanales; Staphylococcaceae
Description: bacterial SSU rRNA
Rfam family: Bacterial small subunit ribosomal RNA
Source: RNAcentral
ACCGGAGCUAAUACCGGAUAACAUUUGGAACCGCAUGGUUCUAAAGUGAAAGAUGGUUUUGCUAUCACUUAUAGAUGGACCCGCGCCGUAUUAGCUAGUUGGUAAGGUAACGGCUUACCAAGGCGACGAUACGUAGCCGACCUGAGAGGGUGAUCGGCCACACUGGAACUGAGACACGGUCCAGACUCCUACGGGAGGCAGCAGUAGGGAAUCUUCCGCAAUGGGCGAAAGCCUGACGGAGCAACGCCGCGUGAGUGAUGAAGGGUUUCGGCUCGUAAAACUCUGUUAUUAGGGAAGAACAAAUGUGUAAGUAACUGUGCACGUCUUGACGGUACCUAAUCAGAAAGCCACGGCUAACUACGUGCCAGCAGCCGCGGUAAUACGUAGGUGGCAAGCGUUAUCCGGAAUUAUUGGGCGUAAAGCGCGC